CUUUCUUUUGCAUUCUAUUUUGUAUUAAUUCUUCCAUACUUAAAUUCAACCCAAUCCAUAUCUAUUUUAAAUAAAAAAAGAUAUAUAUAAAUGAAUUUUGUAAAGAUUGUAAAAAUCUGAAAUUAUAAGACUUGACAAGUGGCACUUGGGGAAUGGCUGAACCAAUUAAGUUAAAUACUUCAACUUAAAUGAGAAUAACAAAGCCUGCAACUUAGUUCGCUUUUCUUCAUCUGAGAAACACACACAUUUGCUUACAAGCUCUUUUUCUCUCCUUGCCCAUUUCAUUUCCUUUCCAGAAUUUAGUAAAUUGAACCAUUUGAUCUCCCUCUUGUAGCUAACUAAAGCACCUCGACACCCAAGGUUUCCAUUGGCACCGAAUCAUUCUGUUGUCAACAGAGGGUAAGUGUCCUUCCCUCUUUUCUUCUUCUUUGAGUCUUAGAACAUGCAACCCACUAAUUGCAUGUGCUCUUGAUUCCUUCCUUUUCGAAUAUAUUUUUCAAUUUCAGCUUUAAAAGCUGUUUUAAUCACAAAUUCUGCGAUCUAUAGGGUUGGGGGAAAAUUCUAGAAUUUUAGAAGGAAACAUAGAAGAACUCUUGAGCUGUUCUGUAUGAAAUCCAGGUAAGGGAAGCUGGAUUCUUUUAGUUUAAUUGUAGAAUGCUAAAUUUAUUUAUUUGAUUGUAUGGAGAAUUAUUUGAAUUGAAAUGCAUGGGUGAAAUUUGUAUGAAUUGAUACGACUUUUGCUUGAAUGAAUGAAUGCAUGUAUUGAAAAUGAUAUUUUUGAUUUGUGUUUGAUGAGAGUGGAUAAUAGAAGGAUUCUGAACGGUAGGAUUAGGUGUAGGUUGACAAUGGUAUGGUUUUAGGGUGAUAAUUCAGUUAUGCAGGUUUUCAGUAAAUGACUAAGUCAUUUUUCAGCUUUUGAGUCCAAUUAAGGGAACUUGGGUGGUGAGUUUUAGAAAUAAGGGUCCAACUCUGAAAUAGGUACUUAGGACAGCUUAGGAUAGUUAAUUAUGACUUAUAGGAGGUGUACAAUUGAUCUAAGACAACUUAUAAAUGGUAAAUUUCGAAUUGAGCCUCUAGGUAGAUCAAAUGAGUAUUUUAGAUCUAAUUUCCUUGUACAUCUCUUAGAGUUUUGAGUUAGGAUGGUGUGUGAGACUUCAAACAAGUUAGAUUCAACUUGUAUUUCGAGUUAGGAGUGUCCAAAGUUCACCAAAAGACCUAAAACUAAACUUAGGAGGUAGAGUUGCUCAAUUAUGCAGAAAAAUCUGCAUAAUUCACGCUUGGGCGCCCUUAAAGGGCGCUUGGGCGCCAUUUUCUGCUGUCAUGUUUGUUUUUGAUAGUUUGUGGGGUUCCGGACGUUCGUUUUGGACAUUCUUUAGGUCGUUCUGGGGGUUUUUUACCCUUCCGGAGCCAUUGGUGAGGGUUUCCAAGCUAUUUGAAUUACUUAACUAUAGGUAAUUAUAGUUGAUAAAGAAAUUGGUAUUAAUAAAUGAUGUUUCUGUGAAAACAUGUAAUGUAUGACUUAUUUCUAGCAUUGUAUGAUUCUUUUUAGUNUUGUAUGAGUUAAUUAUGUAGGAUUUGUAUGAAACCCAAAGUAAUAUAACAUCUUUAUGNAUAAAAUUGAGAAUUUAAAGUCAAUGAAGUUGGUAUGGUAUGAAUUAUGAUUCAAAGAGUUAAAUAUCAUCUCUAGGUGAGAUCUAAGUUAAGUUUCUGGAAUGAAUAUAGGUAGCUCAGUCUUGGGGGUUGCCCUUAAUACUNN
This 1756-nucleotide long non-coding RNA is filed under the name Vigna radiata. RNAcentral describes it as "long non-coding RNA (VRAD_LNC013997)". Lineage: Eukaryota; Viridiplantae; Streptophyta; Magnoliopsida; Fabales; Fabaceae. The record is from RNAcentral.